GAUGAACGCUGGCGGCGUGCCUAAUACAUGCAAGUCGAGCGAACAGACGAGGAGCUUGCUCCUCUGACGUUAGCGGCGGACGGGUGAGUAACACGUGGAUAACCGACCUAUAAGACUGGGAUAACUUCGGGAAACCGGAGCUAAUACCGGAUAAUAUAUUGAACCGCAUGGUUCAAUAGUGAAAGACGGUUUUGCUGUCACUGAUAGAUGGAUCCGCGCCGCAUUAGCUAGUUGGUAAGGUAACGGCUUACCAAGGCAACGAUGCGUAGCCGACCUGAGAGGGUGAUCGGCCACACUGGAACUGAGACACGGUCCAGACUCCUACGGGAGGCAGCAGUAGGGAAUCUUCCGCAAUGGGCGAAAGCCUGACGGAGCAACGCCGCGUGAGUGAUGAAGGUCUUCGGAUCGUAAAACGCUGUUAUUAGGGAAGAACAAAUGUGUAAGUAACUAUGCACGUCUUGACGGUACCUAAUCAGAAAGCCACGGCUAACUACGU
RNAcentral lists this ribosomal RNA (496 nucleotides) under uncultured bacterium. RNAcentral's name for it is "partial 16S ribosomal RNA". It matches the Rfam family "Bacterial small subunit ribosomal RNA", at positions 28 to 506 of the family's 1533-position model. The record is from RNAcentral.